GGCGCACGGGUGCGUAACGCGUAUGCAAUCUACCUUUCACAGAGGGAUAGCCCAGAGAAGUUUGGAUUAAUACCUCAUAGUAUUAUAGAGUGGCAUCACUUUAUAAUUAAAGUCACAACGGUGAAAGAUGAGCAUGCGUCCCAUUAGCUAGUUGGUAAGGUAACGGCUUACCAAGGCAACGAUGGGUAGGGGUCCUGAGAGGGAGAUCCCCCACACUGGUACUGAGACACGGACCAGACUCCUACGGGAGGCAGCAGUGAGGAAUAUUGGACAAUGGGCGCAAGCCUGAUCCAGCCAUGCCGCGUGCAGGAUGACGGUCCUAUGGAUUGUAAACUGCUUUUGCACAGGAAGAAACACUCGGACGUGUCCGAGCUUGACGGUACUGUGAGAAUAAGGAUCGGCUAACUCCGUGCCAGCAGCCGCGGUAAUACGGAGGAUCCAAGCGUUAUCCGGAAUCAUUGGGUUUAAAGGGUCCGUAGGCGGUUUAGUAAGUCAGUGGUGAAAGCCCAUCGCUCAACGGUGGAACGGCCAUUGAUACUGCUAAACUUGAAUUAUUAGGGAGUAACUAGAAUAUGUAGUGUAGCGGUGAAAUGCUUAGAGAUUACAUGGAAUACCAAUUGCGAAGGCAGGUUACUACUAAUGGAUUGACGCUGAUGGACGAAAGCGUGGGUAGCGAACAGGAUUAGAUACCCUGGUAGUCCACGCCCUAAACGAUGUCAACUGGUUGUUGGGUCUCUUCUGACUCAGUAACGAAGCUAACGCGUGAAGUUGACCGCCU
Molecule: ribosomal RNA, 778 nt
Filed under: uncultured bacterium
Lineage: Bacteria
Description: bacterial SSU rRNA
Rfam family: Bacterial small subunit ribosomal RNA
Source: RNAcentral